Molecule: ribosomal RNA, 516 nt
Filed under: Abudefduf sordidus (blackspot sergeant)
Lineage: Eukaryota; Metazoa; Chordata; Actinopteri; Pomacentridae
Description: partial 12S rRNA
Rfam family: Bacterial small subunit ribosomal RNA
Source: RNAcentral
GCCCGGAAACAAGGAGCCGGUAUCAGGCACAACUAACCUCAGCCCAUGACACCUUGCUUAGCCACACCCUCAAGGGACUUCAGCAGUGAUAAACAUUAAGCCAUAAGUGAAAACUUGACUUAGUUAAAGCUAAAAGAGCCGGUAAAACUCGUGCCAGCCACCGCGGUUAUACGAGAGGCUCAAGUUGAUAGACAACGGCGUAAAGAGUGGUUAAGGAACCCAUUAAACUAAAGCCGAACGCCCUCAGAACUGUUAUACGUUUCCGAAGGUAAGAAGCCCCACCACGAAAGUGACUUUACUUCCCCUGACCCCACGAAAGCUGCGAAACAAACUGGGAUUAGAUACCCCAUUAUGCCCAGCCCUAAACUUUGAUAGCCUAUUACACCCACUAUCCGCCAGGGUACUACGAGCAUUAGCUUAAAACCCAAAGGACUUGGCGGUGCUUUACAUCCACCUAGAGGAGCCUGUUCUAGAACCGAUAACCCCCGUUAAACCUCACCCUCCCUUGUUUUUUCC